This 309-nucleotide long non-coding RNA is filed under the name Phasianus colchicus (ring-necked pheasant). RNAcentral's name for it is "lncRNA (ENSPCLG00000003041.1)". Lineage: Eukaryota; Metazoa; Chordata; Aves; Galliformes; Phasianidae. The record is from RNAcentral.
GAGGACUAAGCUUCAGUUUGUUGAUUGAGUGCAAAGCAUCAUGUAUGCAAUAGGAAGGAAAGAUUCUGAAUACAGAAGACUGAACUCCUCCCCACCUCCAACCUACAUCCUUGAAUCUGCAUAGACUGUGCAGGAAACUGAGCCUGAUCACAGAAGUGAAGGCACCGAAGCCUUAUAACCAUGCAGUCUAGGACAAGUCCUGCAGAACAGGUGGCAACUCUGCUUUCAUAGAAUCAUAGGACUAUAAAAAUCUCAAGUUGGAAGGGAUCCCCAAGGAUUGUUGAAUCCAGCUCCUGGCUCCACACAGGA